CCUACGGGAGGCAGCAGUGGGGAAUUUUGGGCAAUGGGCGCAAGCCUGAUCCAGCCAUGCCGCGUGGGUGAAGAAGGCCUUAGGGUUGUAAACCCCUUUCAGCGGGGAAGAUAAUGACGGUACCCGCAGAAGAAGUCCCGGCUAACUCCGUGCCAGCAGCCGCGGUAAU
RNAcentral lists this ribosomal RNA (169 nucleotides) under uncultured bacterium. RNAcentral's name for it is "partial 16S ribosomal RNA". It matches the Rfam family "Bacterial small subunit ribosomal RNA", at positions 338 to 524 of the family's 1533-position model. The record is from RNAcentral.